UUCCAUCUCUUCUAUUCCAACAUAUCCCUUCUUCAAACUUUGAACAAUAGCUCUUUUCAAUUUCUUAUUUAUUUAUUACACUUCAGGUAUCAUUCUCUCAAUUUUUGCUCACAUCUCUUUCUUUCUUAGUUUCUUUUAAAUCAGUUUAACUGUUUCCAAUUUCAAGGAUGAAUUUUCUUGAAUUUCGUUUUUUCCAACUAGAUACUGCGGAAUCACUCUUUUAAUGGUUAUUCUCCGUCCAAUUUCAUUGUUGUUGUCUUCUUCUUACUGAUUCACCUCUAUCUCUUCUUCUUAAGGUAUUGACAUUUAUUAUUCUGCUAACUUAAAAACAAAAGGGAUAUUUAGUUUUACUCCUAAAUAUCGAUUUCGGUAUUGAUUUGGUAUCGGGCACUCAGCCCAUUUCUAUUUCACCUUAUCGUAUGACACCGGAGGAGUUAAAGAAGUUGAAAGAGCAACUUCAGGAACUCCUUGAUAAGGGGUUCAUUGGUAGCCCAAUAUGGAUGUGUGUUCUACAUCGAGUCGGCCUUGUUGAUUCGGAAUUGCUAUUGUUGAGGGAUGUGUCAUUCGAUUGUCGUUGAGCUUAUUCGUGUUCUAAAGUGAUCUAUGAGUUACCUUUCCGUGUUGCGAUUCGUUGAUUUUAUGCACAAGUGAUAUGGUUCUACUUGGUCUUUAUAGCAGAAUUUGAAUGAGACGGGUAUUUGGGUGUUGCAUGAUUGAUUGUGCAUUGGAUAUGUUUUUUCGGAUUGGUAUGGCAUUGAGUCAUUUGUUUCUCCGUGGUUAUGAUGAUUCACUUUUGGUACUAGGUAUCAAAUUGCACGUGGUAAUUGAUUUUGAGCAUGGUGACGUGAGGUGUUUCAUGUGGACCAGCAUUUGGAUAGGGUCGUGCAUUGCCGCAAAGUUAGGUGGAGGUAUGAUCCUUCAGAUUAGAUUUGUGUGUUCUGGUUAUACGAUGUGUGGUGGGUUCUUAGCAUCGUGUUGUGAUGGCACUGAUGAGCUUGCGGUACAACUCUCACAUUUGAGUUAUUUUCCAUGAUUUGAGUAUAUUUGGGUUGUUGCUUAUUGGUGCGCGGAUUGCACGGGUCGCGGAGUUAGAUUAUAUUGAUGUGUCAUGUCACUAGAGCAGUCAUGUUGGUUGAGAUGAGGGCAUUGGGAUCUAGAAUAAACACUAUCGGAUUCGGUCUCAGCAUGUUGGAAGGAUAAUAUCGGGAUUCGGGUUAGAAAUUUACUACAGUCCUUGCAGAAGGAUAGGGAACUCCAUGACUGGUUGAUUUGAGGAAUGGUUAUGGUUUCUAUGUGUUUCUUUCCUCAUUGGUAGUAUAUGAAAGUGUUGGAGUAGAGUUUAUUUCAUAAAAGGUUUAUUACCAGAAUUGGGUUGUUUGGGCAGCUGCUGUGAUUAGAAGUUAUCGCUAUGAGUGUUUGAGUUGUGUGGUAUAUCAUGUGAUUUCCAUCUUGAAUUAUGGUUCUGGCUUGAUACAGUGUGUUCAGACUUAUUUAGUGUGUAGAUGUGAGAUUCUGAUCUUAUGGAUAAUUUCAGAAGUGAAAAUUUGGUUCUAAGGCUAAUGGGCUAGGUUGGAUUGUGAAAUUUCAGUUAUGUUGUGCUAUCGGUCAUAUAUGGGAUGGGGUGACGUGGGAUCACCCCCGGGUAUGUGCGUGGUAAGGGUACACAACGAUUUGGUGGUUUUCGGAACAACUCUGGGCACGUUCGAGGACGAAUGUAUGCUUAAGUGUGGAAUGGUGUAACAACCCGACCGGUCAUUUUGGGCAUUUGCACUUCGCUCGCUAGUUCUCGGGCAUGACUAGCCCCGUAUGAUGUAUUAUGACUUAUGUAAAUCGUCGGUUUUGGUUUUCAGGUUAAUCGGAACAGAUAUGGAAUAACGAUUCUCGGCUUGAAGUUUUAAAUUUGAAAGCUUUGACCAAGUUUUGACUUUUUAGUAUUCGAUCACGAAUUUGGAUUAUGAUGUUUCGGAUAGCUCUGUUAGGUGAUUUUGGACUUAGGAGAGUGUUCUGAAUGUAAUUUGGAGGUCCGUGGUAGAAUUAGGCUUGAAUUGGCGAAAUUGGAAAUUUGGAGUUUUUGGUUGGUAGUGGAAAUCUUGAUAUAGGGGUCGAAAUGGAAUUUCGGAAGUUGGAGUAGGUUCGUAGUGUCAUUUGUGAAGUGUGUGCAAAAUUUCAGGUCAUUCGGACGAGGUUUGAUAGGUUUCGAUGUUGUUUGUGGAAUUUGGAAAUUUAGAUGUUCUUAAGCUUGAAUCCAAGGUUGAUUUGGUGUUUUGAUGUUGUUUUGAGUGAUUUGGAGGUUCGACUAAGUUUGAAUGAUGUUAUGGGAUGUGUUGGCAUGUUUGGUUGAGGUCUCGAGGACCUCGGGUGUGUUUCGGAUGCUCAACGGGUCAUUUUUGGACUUAAGGAGUUUGCUGUUUUGUUGGUGUUCUGCAGCCAGUGUGUUCUUCAUCGCGAUCGCGGGAGGAGGUUCGCGAUCGCGUAGGGCAAAUGGGAGGCCAGCUGGGUUAAUUCUUCACGAUCGCAGAGAAUGGGACGCGAUCGCAUAGGUCAGUCAGGUUGUGCAACACGAACGCGUAGGCCAGGCCGUGUUCGCAUAGAAGAAAUAAGGCAGCAGAGGAAAGUUGACGUUACCCUUCGCAUUCGCGCGGGGUCAAUCGCGAUCGCGUAAGUCAGAGGAACCCCUACAUCGCGUUCGCGUGUGGAGUAACGCGGUCGCAUAGAGGAAAAUGUUGAGGCGACAAAGUUCUUCUUCGCGAUUGCGAGGGUGUUUCUGCGAUCGCGAUUAAGGAAAUGUUUGGGCAGAAUGUUUAAGUUUAAAAAAUGAGGGUUUUGGUCCAUAAUUUCAAAAUUCAUUAGAGAGCUCGGGAGAAGGCAAUUUUGGAGGGGGUUUUCAGAGGAGUGAUUGGGGUAAGUGUUCUUCACUCAAAUUUGGUUAAAUCCCAUGAUUAUGUCUUGAUUUUUAUCAUUUACUUUGGGAAUUUGGGGUGAAAAUUGGGAAAAAUGGAAGAAAAUUUAGAGAGUUGAUUUUGGGGAUUUGGAUGGCCAUUUGAUAUCGGAUUUUGGUAAAUUUGAUAUGGGUAGAUUCGUGAGCGAAUGGGUUUUCCAUUUUUGUGAUUUUAUCGGAUUAUGAGACGUGAGCCCGGGGGUCGGGUUUGACCAAUUUCGGGAUUUUCGAGUUAAUUUGAUUAUUUUUGCUUGGCUUUGUUCCUUUAGCGUGUAUUGAUGUACGAUCAGAUUCGAUAGAUUCGGGGCGAUUUGAGUCCGAUUCGAGAGGCAAGGGUAUCGCGGGUUAGAGUUUUGUCGUUUCACUACUUUGUUGUGACGCACACACUAGAUGACGAGCGUGGGGGCAUGCACCGUUGGGGAUUGUGACUUGGUCCGUCCUGUAUGACUAUUAAGUCUCAUAUUUGACUGGAAAUUUUAUUUGAUACUAUUAUGCUUUGGAAAGUUUUACUAUGUUUUUGGUUGAAUGCCAUAUUUAGGCCUCGUGCCAAGCUGUUUGGACCCUUAGGGAUUUUUACUACUACUCCUCAUUGUUUUGAUUUAAUAUCUGUACUCAGUCAUGCUAUAUUUUUACUGAUUUCAUAACUCAGUCUUAUUUACUCUGUUUGUUAUAUAAAAUGAUAUUUUGGGCUGAGCACCCUUUUCACUGUUAGCCUGAGUGGCUUGAGAGAUUUCUGACUGAGUAAGGCCGAGGGCCUGUGUUGUGAGGAUAUUAUGGGAUCGGGGUACACGCCGCAGCAGGUUGUUACUGAUUCAUGAUAUUGUGAGGCCAAGGGCCUGAUUGAUUUAUGCGACUAGGUGGCUUGUUGUUAUGUGAGGCCGAGGGCCUGAUGUAUUAUGCCACGAAAUAGCUUGUUAUAGAGCUAGGGUUGUAGGAGCCCCUCCGGAGUCUGUACACCUCUAGUGAGCGCGGGUACCCAGAGUGAGUGAUAUGAUGUAUGCCCUAGGGGCUGAUCUUGAUUUAUGUUAUGCCCGAGGGGAUGAUUACGAGUGACUGUGAGGUAGCCCGAGGGGGCUAGUUCUGAUUGAUGUUAUGCCCGAGGGGCGGUUUAUGAUACAUGUCUUGCCCGAGGGCUGAUCUUGAUUUAUGUUGUCCGAGGGCUGUAUAAGAGUGAGUUUUGCACGAGAGACUGAUUAUUUUUUCACUAUUUUUGCUCACUAUUUUAUCACUUUGUUUGAGAAAUUGUUGAAAGACAUUUUCAAAGGAUUUUCACUGAAAUUAGGUUUUUAACGAGAUGAUUUGAUUUAUAUACUAUUUUGGAAACAUACUGUACUUACUGUGGUGUUAUAAUGCUGAUUAUGUAUUUUCUUACGGCUCAGUCUCUAUUUACUUUUAUUACUUACUGAGUUGGCGUACUCACAUUACUCUCUGCAUCAUGUGUGCAUAUCCAGGAGUUGCGUGUCUCGAUAGCGAGCGCUGAUCGUUAUUCCAGUAGGGCUUCGGAGUCAGCAAGGUAGCUGCUUGGCAUUCGCAGCCAUGCACUUCUCCUUCUUACCUUACUCAGACUGUUUUUAGUAUCUCUAUUUCCGAACUAUGAUAGCCUUGUCGUACUUAAACAGACCUUGUAGUUGCUCGUGACUUGUGACACCCUGAUGUCGGGCUUGUGUUAUUUUUCUUCCGCACUGGUUAUUGAGACCCAUGUUAUGAGAUAUUGCCA
Molecule: long non-coding RNA, 4655 nt
Filed under: Nicotiana tabacum (common tobacco)
Lineage: Eukaryota; Viridiplantae; Streptophyta; Magnoliopsida; Solanales; Solanaceae
Description: long non-coding RNA (NTAB_LNC001562)
Source: RNAcentral